GACGGGGGCCCGCACAAGCGGAGGAACAUGUGGUUUAAUUCGAUGAUACGCGAGGACCUUACCUGGGCUUAAAUGUAGAGUGCAUUCUUUAGAGAUAGAAAUUCCCUUCGGGGCUUUCUGCAAGGUGCUGCAUGGUUGUCGUCAGCUCGUGCCGUGAGGUGUCGGGUUAAGUCCCAUAACGAGCGCAACCCUUAUCGUUAGUUGCCAGCUGGUAAAGCAGGGGACUCUAGCGAAACUGCCACCGUAAGGUGAGAGGAAGGUGGGAUGGCGUCAAAUCAGCACGGCCCUUAUGUCCAGGGCUACACACGUGUUACAAUGGCCGGCACAGAGGGCAGCUACCUGGUGACAGGAUGCUAAUCUCGAAAACCGGUCUCAGUUCGGAUCGAAGUCUGCAACUCGACUUCGUGAAGCUGGAUUCGCUAGUAAUCGCGCAUCAGCCAUGGCGCGGUGAAUACGUUCCCGGGCCUU
This 468-nucleotide ribosomal RNA is filed under the name uncultured Sphingobacteriales bacterium. Its description in RNAcentral is "bacterial SSU rRNA". It matches the Rfam family "Bacterial small subunit ribosomal RNA", at positions 912 to 1382 of the family's 1533-position model. Lineage: Bacteria; Pseudomonadati; Bacteroidota; Sphingobacteriia; Sphingobacteriales. The record is from RNAcentral.